AAAUAUAUAUAUAUAAUAUAUUAUAUCCAUAAGAAAAUAUUCACAAUAAGUUGCAAGGGAACAAAUUCAAAUACUUGAUUGGACAGGUUACGAAAUGGAAGCCAAAUACAAAAAGGCCUAGAGGACGUCCUAGACAAAGAUGGAAGGAUAGAGUGGUCAAGGACUUGAGGGAACUUGGAAUAGAGGACGGGGAAGAGCUGGCAAGAGACCGAGACAGGUGGAGGCAAGUGGUUGUUGCGGCAAUGGGCCUGAAUGGCCUGUAAACGCCU
Molecule: long non-coding RNA, 269 nt
Organism: Melanaphis sacchari
Lineage: Eukaryota; Metazoa; Arthropoda; Insecta; Hemiptera; Aphididae
Exons: 2
Source: RefSeq, a predicted model, not a curated record